RNAcentral lists this long non-coding RNA (3337 nucleotides) under Homo sapiens (human). RNAcentral's name for it is "HSALNT0329425". The record is from RNAcentral. Lineage: Eukaryota; Metazoa; Chordata; Mammalia; Primates; Hominidae.
GCCACACUGUCUUCCACAAUGGUUGAACUAGUUUACAGUCCCACCAACAGUGUAAAGGUGUUCCUUGACUUCUAAUACUAUAGAUAAGCUUUGCUGCUUUGGAACUUGAAAAAAAUUUUUAGCUACUCUGCUAUUCAUAGACAUUUGUGUAAUGGUUUCAGCUUUGGGCUGUGUGAAUGGUGCUGCUACAGUCAAUCUAACAGAUUUCAUUUUGGUGAACAUGUGCACACAUUUCUUUUAGGUUUAUAAGAGUGCAAUUACUGUGUCAUAGGUUGUAAAUAUUAAGAGCUCUAAUAGAGACUACUAAACAGAUUUCUGAAGUCAUCAUAUCACUUUAUAUGCCUAGCAGCAAUAUAUAAGAAGAAUCAAUCACUUUGAAAAGUUUUUACUUCUGGUAGCUCACUUCUGUAAAUAGUAUCUGUCUAUCUUAAAAAGCUUUAAAAUAAUAAACUUGUUCUGUUCACUUACCCUGCACCCCAGCUUAUCUUUCUUCACCUUCCUCAAAAAACUAAUGGUUAAAUUAUGUUUGCUUGGUUAUAUUUGUAAAUUAACAAUCUUUUAUGUCUUCUUGCUUUGUCAACUUAAUAAGCAGUUUUCCUUCUCUCUCUGUUACAUGUAAAUACAAGUUAUUCUCUAUAUUCGUUUGUUAAUUUCCAUUGCCUAUAUUUUUAAAUCCCUUUUUUAAAUUUUGAAAUAAUGUUAGAUUUACAGAAACACUGCAAAGAUAGUACAGUUUUCCCUAUUAACAUAUUAUAUAACCAUGAUACCUUUGUCAAAACUAAAAACCAACAUUGGUACAUUACUGUCAACUGCAGACUUUAUUGUAUUUCACCAGGUUUUUCUGCUAUGUACCCCUUCUGUUCUCUUCCAGGUUCCAAUCCAGGAUACUACAAUUCACUUAGCCACCGUAUUUCCUGAUUUUCCUCUGGUCUAUGACAGUUUCUCAGUCUUUCCUUGUUUUCAAUGACCUUAAUGGUUUUCAGUCCCCCAGGGUUUCCACCCCCUAAUCUACUGCAUAUAGUCACUUCCCACUGGGUGUGGGCUGGACAUGUGAAUGUGAUGGGAUAGCCUCCAGGAGCCACUCUCACGUUAUUGGCUACUCUAACCUUAGGUCAUUCUGGGCUUCUACUGGGAAGGCUGGCUUUUACUUCCACUUAGGUUCCCCCAUGGUAUUACUUUUUCAUCAACAUACUUCCAUGUACUUUCAGACUUUGAGAAACGUGUGAAAGACUCUGAUCUCCCCACGUACAUCCACACUUCUGAGUUUAUUCAUUUUUGUGUUCCCUUAUUGCUUCAGGAAGGAGGAGGAGAGGUAAGCAUAUGUGCACAUUUUAAAACUAGCAACAAAGAGCUCCCUUUCAAAUCAUAACUUGCCACUGCCAAUUCCAGGCUAACUCGUUAGCCUCAUGCCUUUGUAGUUCUUUUUCUGUUAUACCCAUCUAUAGCCAAUGUUCUUAUAUGUGUAUGUUUUGCAGUGGUAGUAGUUACAGGACCAGGUUUUAAGCCUGGCUCUGGAAUUAUCUGAUAUAUUGCUUUAGGGGAGUUGCUUAAAAUGUGUGCCUCGGCCAGGACAUAAUUAAGAUUAUUACUGUUGUCUACUUCACAGAGUAAUCUGAGAAUGACUUCAUGCAUUUUCACUGCCAUUGCAUUUCUAAAACUGUCUUAUGAUUUUAAAAUAAGCUUCUCUGUCAUAAAAACCGUAAUCAGACACAGAAGAAUGCCAGAAGGCAGAGGUAAACUGAGUUCACCUUCCAAUGUUCCAUCAACACAUCUUGAAAAUUCUUCAUCAUUCUCACUGAUCCUUUAUUCCUGUUUUGCCGUCCUCCUUUGUGAUUAGAAGAUUUUCUCUAAUGUGAGAGAAUGUUCAGGAGAGAAAAUCAGAAAUCUACAUUUGAAAAGUAUCCCACUAACAGAAGUUGAUCCAAGACAGAGAAGAAGAUACAUGGAGCUUAUUUGGGAGGUGCACUGAUAAAAGAUUGCAGACAUGAAAAAAGGGAAGAGAAGAAACUCUUUUCAAGGUUUCAGAAGAAACUACCUUAAUGAAGAAACAGAAGGGAAAGACGUGAAAACCUCCAGAGUUCUUCAGAAAGGCUUCCUUUGCAUAGAAUCGUUCAUCAAUUUCAACAGUAACAGAAAGUAACGGAAACGUGAUCUGAAUGAGUAGCUGAAAAUUGAGUAGUAACUUAACACUCCAUUGAAGUUUUUCAUCAGAUAUGGGGCACAGCUUGACCCUCGUAUUAUAAAUAUUUAAAUGCUUUGGAUAUUUUGCCAAAGUUUAAGCAUUUCUUCCCAAAGGAACAGUGGUGAUAUAAUGUGAGUCAUGCUAAAGUACUUAACCAUCAGUGGGCAGAUUUUGUGGCAUGAAUUUUUGUAAUGAUUUUAAGUAAGACCCGGUAUAUUCACAAAUAUCCAAAACUUUAUUUAGAACUGUAUGGGAAGCUAUUCUAUCUAAAAGCUCAUUCUUAUUAAAAGUAUUUUUUCAGGAAAUAAAAUGAUGUUAAACCUGGAAGUCUCCAGCAAAGAGACUGAUUUUUUUUUAGAUGCUCCCAACUCAGUAAAUUUUGCUUUCCUAUUUUCUUAUUUUUGUACGUAUGCCACUGAUGUCUAGCUUAUACACUUCUGUUAUAUUUACAGCUGUUUACAACCAUUGAACCAAAAGUUCUAUACCUGUUGAAUGUCUAAAAGUAGAGAAAAUUAAUUGAAAAGCAAUAGGUUAAGAAUCAACCUGUGGUCCCAAGAAAAAGAAGUAAAAUCCUAUAAAAUUCUUAAAGCAUUUCCUCUAUAAAUAUUUGAAAGUUAUUUAAUCUUUUGGUCUUUAUAGUGCCUGGAUUGACAUUCUGCAUUAACUAUGGAAUCAUUUUUAUAAGGAAUAUUUUGUGAUUUGUAUAAGAAAAAGUAUUUCUCAAUGGCAUAGGAAGAGCUUUGCUAACUCUUAGAAGAAAGAGGGAAGAGAAGAGGGAAGGAAACAAGUAAAACGAACUGGUGGUACAUCGUGUAUUAAGAGAUAAUACAAGGAUAUCAUACUAUAAUGUUUUCAGACAAAAAUUAUGGACAGGCUAAUUCGUGAAAUAAGAUGAAGACCUAAAAGGUAGCAAUGAUCCUAUACACUAUACUCUGUAACAGUUGUUUUCAAACUGCUUUUUAAACAUAAAAACAAUUUUAAAUCCACUAUUUUAGCACAUUCUGGUCUUAUAUAGUAAUUACAUGGCUAUAUUUUUCCAGUGUGACAUAUUUAAAAUACAUAUCAUUAAAUUUCUGGUUAAUCUUAAACAUGGAAAUAAAGUACGAAAUUUCUAGUUGUUGAAGUAUGUUUAAAAUAAAAUAUAUUAAAAUAUCA